UUUCUGAGAGGCUCAAAGCGCUUGCGCCGACCCCUUCUCCCACAGUCUUUGUGCGGAAAGAAGGGCUUCGCGCGUGCGCGGCGGGUAGUGGGACUGUAGAGUCCCGCUAAGGGGCGCCAGAGGCGUCAGGAUCGCUGGUGAAUCAAAGUACGCCGCUCCUCGACCAGCUUCUACUCCAGACACUUAAACUUCCAAGACAGCUUCCUUUUACGCCUCUUCUUUUGCUGCACCCGGGUCAACAAUCAUGCAGAAACACGUUUUUCAUAUUCCUGUUUGUUCUCCUGGUACAGAUAUGCAAAAAUCAAGGAGAAAGGAAUCCAAGCACAAUAAAGGAAGCCAUCAAACCACAAGGGAAGAGAGAAGAAAGAGAAGAAGAAAGGAACAGAAGAACUACAAAAGCAACCAUAAUACAAGUAACAAAAUGGCACUCCCUGUGACCUGGAUCUUUCGUAAGGAAAGGAAGGCCCAUGUCAUGUCACUGAUGCUCCUUCUACAGUGUUGAUCACCAGGCUCAAGACAUGCCUUCCCCAGGCCCUCACUUCCUCAGCCAUUCUGCAGGGCAAGACAGAGUUCACCAGCAAUUAGCUGCCCCACAGAGAUGAGAGCCCAGCCCCUGGGAGGGGUUGUGUCCAGCAGAGUGGUAACUAUGAAUUCGAAUUAAUGUGUGGCCUGUAAGGUACUUGUGUUGGCGGUGCUGGUCUAAUGUACAUGGUAGAUGCAGGAUCAAAAAGACCAUGGUCAAGUGCAGGAGAGUUGCUUGUUCAGAUUCCACUGGCGACCAAAAGCUGAGUGCCCAACCAGCACUGCCAGCCUCCGGGAAUCCUAUGGGGAUUCAUUCACCAGCUUCCCCUCCUUCCCGGACCCAUGCAUCAGAAGAGAAGAGAGAUUGUAACACAUGCACACAAGGAGUGGGCUUUACCAAUUGUUUGAAUACUCCCUUUUCUGCAUGCCCUGCAAAUAUGUCACUCAGGCACAGAACCUGUGGGCCCCACGCCCAGAGGUGGAUGCAAGGUGGUAAUUGCAUGGCAGUCAUGGCCAACCUGAAACCUGGAUUCCAACUGGGUCUCCAUCAUGCCCUGUUAUACAGUGAUGCAUUAGCUCCAUAAAAUAAAAUAAAAACAGAAAUUACUUUUAUAACGCAUGCCUCCUGGUAGGGAAAUCUUCUAGAACAUCAGCUGGACAGAGCUCAUCAUUGGAGCUAUAUAGGUGCAGCUAGGCCUGGCCAAGUGGAAAAGUGCUAGGUUUGAGCUAUGAGGUGGGCCUGGGCCUGGGCCAGGCCCCACUUAGCCCCAUGCCUUGUGCUCGUGGCAGGUGCGGGGCUCUCUCUGCCUUCACAGCCCAGGGCCCUGUGCCUCUCCAGUAGGGCUGGGCUCGGGGAAGCCACCCAAGGGCUCCUUUCCAGCUGGAGCCCCAUCUCUUGCUACCGAUCCUGUGAUCUAACAGAUUUUUCACCCCAAUCCUGAUGUAAUAAAUAAUGAAGAGUUGUACUUUUUAUACAUCUGUUAGUGACAGGUGAGUGGUGAUUGUCCUUUGUGUGCCCCAUGUAUGUUGCUGCAGAAAAUGGCUCCCUCAGAUUACUUGGUCAACUGAGUCAAGCUGAGUGGAAGAGGGUUUGAGUGGUGAUGAAGGAUUGAGGGUCAUGAGGGAAACAUGUCACCAAAUAUUUAUCCCUUGUCUCUAGAUGAGACGGUUAAAUCCAUGCAGGAGCACCACAGGCAUGGAGUGUCCGUGCAAACCUGGUUACUCUUCUUGGAAAAGAUUCUCCUGAGUUCUGUCAGAAGUGCCUCACUAGGCUGAAACUCGUCUCUGAUGACUUUCCAAACUUGUGUUCUUUAAUUCCUGGAACCUACUCUUGCGGCAGAUGGACCUCCAGGACAAUGAGAUCCCUGCGGCCAGGGCUCUUACUUUAGGCAUGCAGGGUGCCUUGUAUGAAAUGCUGGUGACCUGGCUCAACAAAACCAGGCAGGAUGUUUCAAUCAACACCCUACUGCAGAGAAUCCAGGACUGCCUGGUAGGCCCCAGAAAGUGCAUCUAUGAAGAAGGCGGGACAGGCUCUGCCGUGUCCUGAGUGGAAAGACUCUUUAAGAAUCUGAGCUUCCCUUUUUGCCUUUUCUACUUGAAGGGGAAGUAUAAGUGGACACCAGCCUGGAAGAAAGAGCAGAUACUUGAUGAAUACUUGAAGAAAUUCUAAUUCAAAAGCAUACAGCUCUUCACAAGAGACUCUUUUUAAAAUGUUUAUUUAUUUUUGAGACAGAGAGAAAGCAGGCUAGUGCAUGUGCACCAGCAGGGGAAGAGCAGAGAGAAAGAGAGAAUCCCAAGCAGGCUCUGCACCAUCGGCACAGAGCCCAGCACAAAGCCCAACUUGGGGCUCUAACCCACGGGCUGUGAGAUCAUGAUCUGAGUCGAAAUUAAGAGUUGGAUGCUUAACCAACUGGACCACCCAGGUGUCCCCACAAGAGACUCUUAAUGAUAGAGAACAAACUAAGGGUUGAUGGAGGGGAGGUGAGGAAGAUAGGCUAUGUGGAUGAUGGGUACUAAGGAAUGCACUUGUUGUGAUGAGCACUGGGUGUUGUAUGGAAGUGAUGAAUCAUUGAAUUCUACUCCUGUAACCAAUAUUGCACUGUAUGCUAACUAACUAAAAUUUAAAUUAAAACAAACAAACCAUACAGCUCUUGGAAUAUUCUAGAACUUUUUCAGUGUGCUUGGAAUAAUUUUUAUGAAAUGUUGAGUGUGAUAAGUGAACUGUGGUAAUGUGUACAGUAAGAUUCUAUGUGGAUUAUAGUUAUAGGCAUACCUUAUUCUACCAUGUUUCACUUUAUUGCACUUCAAAGAUAUUUCAUUUUUUACAAACUGAAGUUUUGUGGCAACCCUGAGUUGAGCAAGUCUAUUGGUACCAGUUUUUCAACAGCAUUUUCUGACUUUGUAUCUCUGUGUCACAUUUUGAUAACUCUUGCAAUACUUAAAACCUUUUCAUUAUUACUAAUUUUGUUAUAGUGAUCUACGAUCAGUAAUGUUUGAUGUUAUUACUGUAAUUAUUUUGGGGUGCCACGAAUUGCACCCAUAUAAGAUUGUGAACUCAAUUAGUAAAUGGUGUGUGUCUUCUGACUGGUCCACCAGCUAGCCUUUCCCCAAUCUGUCUUCCUCUCCUUGAACCUCCAUAUUCCCUGACUUACAGCAUUAUUGAAAUUAGGCCAAUUAAUAACCCCCAAAUGACCUCUAAGUGUUGAAGUGAAAGUAUCAGUCACAUGUCUCUCACUUUAAAUCAAAAGCUAGAAAUGAUUAAGCUUAGUGAGGAAGGCACGUCGAAAGCUGAGAUAGACCAAAAGCUGGGCCUCUCGCACCGAGCAGUUAGCCAGGUUGUGAAUGCAAAGGAAAAGUUCUUGAAGGAAAUUAAAAGUGCUUUCCGGUGAACACACGAAUGAUAAGAAAGCGAAGCAGCCCUGUUGCUGUUACUGAGAAAAUGUGGGUGGCCUGCAUAGAAGAUCAAACCAGCCACAACAUUCUGUUAAACCAAAGCCUAAUCCAGCACGCCCUGACUCUCUUCAAUUCCGUGAAGGCUGAGAGAGGUGAGGAAGCUGCAGGAGAAAAGUCUGAGGCUGGCAGAGGUUGGUUGACGAGGUCUGAGGACAGAAGCCGUCUCCGUGACAUCAAGGUGCAAGGCGAAGCAGCAGGAGCUGAUGUGGAAGCUGCCGCGGGUUCUCCAGAAGAUCCGGCUCAGAUAAUUCAUGAGGACGGCGACACUGAACAACAGGUUUACAACGUAGUGAAGCAGCCUCUGUUGGAAGAAGAUGCCACCUAGGACUUUCACAGCUACAGAGGCAAAGUCAAUGCCUGGCUUCAAAGCUUCAAAGGACAGGCAGCUGGUGACUUCAAGGGAAGCCAGGGCUCAUUUACUAUUCUGGAAGGCCGAGGGCCCAUAAGGAUGAUGCUAAAUCCAUCCACUCUGCCUGUGCUCUGUACAUGGAACAACAAAGCCUGAAUGACCACACUUCUGCUCACUGAGUGUUUUAAGUCCACUGCUCGCUGACAGUGCACGGGUCACCCAUGAGCGCUGAUGGAGAUGGACGACGAGGUGAAUGUGGUUUCUGUGCUUGCUCACACAGCAUCCAUUCUGCAGCCCGUGGGUCAAGGAGUCAUUUCAACUUUCAAGUCUUAUUAUUUAAGAAAUGCAUGUUGUAGGGCUAUGGCUGCCGCAGACAGGGAUUGCUCUGAUGGAUCUGGGCAAAGUAAAUUGAAACCUUCUGGAAAGGAGUCACCAUUCUAGGUGCCAUUAAGAUCAUUCGUGACUCACGGGAAGAGGUCAAAAUAGCAACAUGAACAGAAGUUUGGAAGAAUUUGAUCGCAGCCCCCAUGGAGGACCGUGAGGGCUUCCGGACUGUGGUGGCAGAGGUGUCUGUGGGUGUGUGUCAGGGGGAACAGCGAGAGAACUGGGACUGGAAGAGGAGCCUGGAUAUGGCACUGAAUUGCCGCCGUCUCGUGAGCAGACUUGAACGGAUGAGGAGUUGCUCCUUCUGGAUGAGCAAAGACUAUGGUUUCUUGAGGUGGGAGCUACUCCUGGUGGAGAUGCUGUGAAGAUGCUUGAAAUGACAACAGAGGGGUCGGAACAUGACAUAAACUCAGUCGAUAGAGCAGCGGCAGGGUUUGAGAGGCUUGACUCCAAUUUUGAAAGAAGUUUUGUUGUGAGUAAAGUGCUAUGGAACAGCAUCGCGGGCCGCAGGGAAAUCGGAAGACUCGAUCAACACGGCAAAUUUCAUUGUAUUAUUUUCAGGAAUUGCCGCAGCCACCCCGACCUUCAGCAACCACCGCCCUGAUCAGUCGGCAGCCACCGACAUAGGGACAAGACCCUCCACCGGCAAAAAGAUUAUGACUCGCUGGAAGCGUGGAUGAUGGUUAGCAUUUUUUAGCAAUAAGGUAUUUUUUAAUGAAUACAUUGUUUUGGACAUAAUGCUAUUGCACAUUUAAUAGACUACAGUAUAGUGUAGACAUAACUUUGGAUGCACUGGGAAACCAAAUAAUUCAUUUGACUCACUUUAUUGUGAUCGUCGCUUUAUCGGGGUGGUCUGGAAGCGAACCUGCAGUAUCUCCAAGGAAUGCCCGCUCAAGUUUGCGUGUGCACUGCGAGUUGUUUUAGGGUGGCAUUCUCUUCCUUUUUUUCUUUUUUUUUUUUAAUUUUUUUUUAACGUUUAUUUUUGAGACAGAGAGAGACAGAGCAUGAACGGGGGAGGGUCAGAGAGAGGGAGACACAGAAUCCGAAACAGGCUCCAGGCUCUGACCGUCAGCACAGAGCCCGACGCCGGGCUCGAACUCACGGACCGCGAGAUCGUGACCUGAGCCGAAGUCGGCCGCUUAACCGACUGAGCCACCCAGGCGCCCCGGGUGGCAUUCUUUUCAAUUCGUGGCACUUUGUCCUCCUAACAGCGUCACACGUUUUACUUGCAUUUAUUAUAAGAUGCAGUCAUGUCAGAUGUGUACAUUUACUUAUGUGUAACUAUUAAGGCUACAAGAUGUGUAUCUUCCAUUUUUAUAUUUUUGUAUAGACUUAUACGAGCAUGAAGAACCUUCUGAAAUGUACUCAUUAGUUGGAUUACCCAAGUCACCUGAAUGGGAGGAGGACACCAUGAAAUGAGGAAUACAAAGGGGGAAGAUGGAAAAAGCCCACUUCUAGGGGUGGCACUGGUGGGUUCGGUGCUCCCUCAUACCCAGUUAGUGCUUUCCAGGAUUAGACGACCAGAAACUUCUAAAGGGCCCACUCUUUUCGACAUGAUAAUUUUGUGGCUGUAUGAGUAUUUAUGUUAUUUCUAGGCAGAUGUUUCCAAGUAAGGAGAGUGAGGGGAAGUGGUAUCCACGUGCAGCCCCGUGUUUGGAUGCUCCCAAACACACUGAGGGCAGUCAGGCGUGGGCCUCCUUCUCACCUAUGGAUGGGGUGGGGGCGGGGGAUGGGUUAGAUCUGAACGGCAAAUAGGUUCUAUGUCAUGUCACUGCACGUCACAGGAGUAACCCUUCAGCCCCAUUUUCCUUCUCCAGUCCUUCCAGCAUAUCUAUAUUCCAGUCAUGGCGGGAUAAUGUUAUAGAGGUCAUGCUCGGGGCUCUUGGUUUUUUCCAUCUCAAAGGUCUGUGUGUCCCCAGACUGAUAUGGCUGGACCCAAACUGGAAUCGCCUGAACGUCUGGGCACUUUCAGGGUCUCGGUGUUCUAGUAGAGUUCUGUGGGGGCACAACCCUCACGGCCUUGCUGUUUGUCUCUCUCCCACUUCCUUCCGGAGGCCCCGCCCUGUCCCUUCCCUUUCCUGGAAGAGGCGAGUGUUUCCUGCCUCUGCUGUCCCUUCUGUGUGGGGCACUGUAUCUUCAGAAGGAGCCAGGAAGUUUUGUCAGUCAAGGUUCAGCUCACCUGUCCCUUUCCCAAGAGGACUUGAGCGCCCAUCCAAAGGAUUAGCCUCAUCAGUGUUUGUCAUGCUUACUCAUUUAAGGUAAGCUGCGUCAGAGGACGAAGCCGAUCCAGUCCAAAUGGCACUUGGCGCUCAAUAGGCACUUGAUACGUGUUUCAUUAGUGAUUGGUGUUCUUUCGUGCUUCUCUCCAGUGGAAGGUGCCACCUUUGAAGAGGUUGUUGGACAAUAUCAAACAAUACAAGGAAGGCCAUUAGGUACAAAAUACUCAUGUAUUUAUGAAUUCAUGACCAAAUUAAAUAUGAAACCUUAUA
Panthera uncia (snow leopard) is the source of this 6696-nucleotide long non-coding RNA. RefSeq lists it as uncharacterized. The record is from RefSeq and is a predicted model, not a curated record. The transcript has 8 exons. Lineage: Eukaryota; Metazoa; Chordata; Mammalia; Carnivora; Felidae.